Molecule: ribosomal RNA, 424 nt
Filed under: uncultured Prevotella sp.
Lineage: Bacteria; Pseudomonadati; Bacteroidota; Bacteroidia; Bacteroidales; Prevotellaceae
Description: bacterial SSU rRNA
Rfam family: Bacterial small subunit ribosomal RNA
Source: RNAcentral
UGAGGAAUAUUGGUCAAUGGACGAGAGUCUGAACCAGCCAAGUAGCGUGUAGGAUGACGGCCCUAUGGGUUGUAAACUGCUUUUAUAAGGGAAUAAAGUGAGUCUCGUGAGACUUUUUGCAUGUACCUUAUGAAUAAGGACCGGCUAAUUCCGUGCCAGCAGCCGCGGUAAUACGGAAGGUCCGGGCGUUAUCCGGAUUUAUUGGGUUUAAAGGGAGCGUAGGCCGGAGAUUAAGCGUGUUGUGAAAUGUAGACGCUCAACGUCUGCACUGCAGCGCGAACUGGUUUCCUUGAGUACGCACAAAGUGGGCGGAAUUCGUGGUGUAGCGGUGAAAUGCUUAGAUAUCACGAAGAACUCCGAUUGCGAAGGCAGCUCACUGGAGCGCAACUGACGCUGAAGCUCGAAAGUGCGGGUAUCGAACAGG